This 282-nucleotide ribosomal RNA is filed under the name uncultured Pelotomaculum sp. RNAcentral describes it as "partial 16S ribosomal RNA". It matches the Rfam family "Bacterial small subunit ribosomal RNA", at positions 1101 to 1382 of the family's 1533-position model. The record is from RNAcentral. Lineage: Bacteria; Bacillati; Bacillota; Clostridia; Eubacteriales; Desulfotomaculaceae.
AACCCUACGUUUAGUUGCUAACGCGUGAAGGCGAGCACUCUAGACGAACUGCCGUUGACAAAACGGAGGAAGGUGGGGAUGACGUCAAAUCAUCAUGCCCCUUAUGUUCUGGGCUACACACGUGCUACAAUGGCCGGUACAGACGGACGCAAAGCCGCGAGGUGGAGCAAAUCCUAAAAAGCCGGUCUCAGUUCGGAUUGCAGGCUGCAAUUCGCCUGCAUGAAGUCGGAAUCGCUAGUAAUCGCAGGUCAGCAUACUGCGGUGAAUACGUUCCCGGGCCUU